Molecule: long non-coding RNA, 2118 nt
Filed under: Ananas comosus (pineapple)
Lineage: Eukaryota; Viridiplantae; Streptophyta; Magnoliopsida; Poales; Bromeliaceae
Description: long non-coding RNA (ACOM_LNC018726)
Source: RNAcentral
UCUCUCUAUAUAUAUAUAUAUAUAUAUAACUAAACUAUAAUACUAUCAAUAGCACCAAGCUAUUGAUGUUAUUACUUUUAACCUUUGGAUUGAGAAAUGUGUGGUUAGGAUGAUAUGGGCCCCCUAGGGAUGAGUGAGUGAUUGGUUGAAUGGUAUAACAUAACAGAUAAAAAUAAUUAAAGAGUUAUAUCUAACGGUGGAAAACUCGAUAGCACCAAAUCCUUUGUGCUAUCGAUAGUACCCCAGCCGAACUAUAUAUAUAUAUAUAUAGAGAGAGAGAGAGAGUCCGGCUAAUAUUCUUUUAUGAGUAUAGGCUCCUUUAUACUCAUAAAUUUUCAGUCCUUAGAUUUAUUUCAUUGAUCAUUUCCACCCGUUAGAUCAUACUAUUCAACCAACUACCCACUCAACCCUAGGGGACCACCAUCAUUCUAAGUGAGGACCAUCAUCAUCCUAACCACAUAUCCCAUCAAUCAAUGGUUAAAAAUUUAUGAGUACAAGAGGGUCUAUACUCAUAAGAGUAUAGUAGCCCCAGCCUAUAUAUAUAUAUAUAUAUAUAUAUAUAGAGAGAGAGAGAGAGAGAGAGAGAGAGAGAGAGAGAGAGAGAGCGAGAAGGACUGCUGUGCUCUCAGGAGCAUAGAGGCCUCCGUGUUCUUGAGCCAUUUUCGAUGAUGGAAUUUUCGAAUCGACGAUCGGCUCCGUUAGACUUGAUCUAGCGUAUUUGAAGUUUCUAGAAAAAAAAAUUGCGAUUUUUCGAUAUCAUUUACCUAGCAAUCAAAAGGAUUCAAAAUCAAUAAUUUUUAAUGGCUGAAAAUAAAAAUCCUAUAAAACGUGGUGAUAUAGCACUAAAAUUUUUGAUCAGAAAUAUUGAUCUUGUUGUAGAUAGUAUAAAAAAUUUUGUAUCAAAAUUUUAUCUGAUUUGAAUACUUCUAAAUCGUUAAACUUGAAAACGAUAGAUAUCAACCAUUAAAAAUUAUUGAUUUUGAACCCUUUUGACACUAGGUAAAUGAUAUCGAAAAAUAGCAAAAAUUAUUUUCUAGAAACUUCAAAUACACUAGAUCAAGUCUAACAGAGCCGAUCGUCGAUUCGAAAAUUCUAUCAUCGAAAAUGGCUCAGGAGCACGGAGGCCUUCGUGCCCCCGAGAGCACAGCAGUCCUGUUAUAUAUAUAUAUAUAUAUAUAUAUAUAUAUAUAGAGAGAGAGAGAGAGAGAGAGAGAGAGAGAGUACGUCUCCCGUGCUUUCGAAAGUACGGAGGCCUCCGUACUUGUAAGUUAUUUUUGAUGAUAGUACAUCCAAUUCGACGAUCGACUCCGUUAAGCAGAAUCUAUGCUAUUGGAACUAUCUAAAAACCAAAUUUUAUAAUUUUUUGACAUUAUUUACCAAGCGAUCACAGGAUCUAAAAAAUGACUAUUUUAAUGGCCGAUGUGUCACUUUUUAAGUUCAACGGUCUACAAGUAUUCAAAUUACAUGAAACUUUAAUAGAAAAUUCUACUUAACAUUAAUAGCAAGAACAAUACUUCCGAUUUGAAAUUUGAGUCAUUUAUCAAUAUUUUUUAUGAGAUUUUUAUUUUCAGCCGUUCAUUUUGAGGCUACUCGUUCACUAGGCAAACAAAGUUAAAAAAUUAUGAAAUUUGGUUUCUGGAUAGUUCCAAUAGCAUAGAUCAUAUUUAACGGAACCGAUGGUCGAAUCGGACGUCCCAUCAUUAAAAACAACUUAUAAGCACGGAGGCCUCCGUACUUUCGAAAGCAUAGGAACCUAACUCUCUCUCUCUCUCUCUCUCUCUCUCUCUCUCUAUAUAUAUAUAUAUAUAAUACUAGGCUUGAAUACUAUUAAUAGCACCAAGCUAUUGGUGCUAUUAGUUUUUUAGCCUUUGGAUUAAAAAAUGUGCUUUUUAGCCUUUAGAUUAAAAAAUGUGCUGUUAGGAUGAUGUGAGCCCCUAGGGUUAAGUGGGUAGUUGGUUGAAUAGUAUAAUCUAACGAGUAAAAAUAAUAAAAGGGUUAAUCUAACGGUAGAAAACUUGAUAGCACCAAGUGUUUGGUGCUAUCGAUAGCAUAGCAACCGUACUCUCUCUCUCUCUCUCUCUCUCUCUCUCUCUCUCUCUCUCUCUAUAUAUAUAUAUA